Molecule: small nucleolar RNA, 137 nt
Filed under: Mus spicilegus (steppe mouse)
Lineage: Eukaryota; Metazoa; Chordata; Mammalia; Rodentia; Muridae
Description: Small nucleolar RNA SNORA61 (ENSMSIG00000026991.1)
Source: RNAcentral
AGCCUCCUAUUUCCUUUCCUAUCGGAUCUUGAUAUUGAUUUUGAUGAUAGUAAAGGAGAAAAAAAAAUACACUAGAUCUCUCCUCACCUCUCAGCUGUAUACUCUAGUGUAGAGCACAGGGCUAAAUUCAAACAGGU